GGAGAAUAGACGGGGAGAAGAGAGGGGGAGAAGGUGGGAGGAGAGGAGAGGGGGAGAAGGGGGAGAAGAAGGGAGAAGAGGAGAAGAGACUGGGAGAAGAGAGGGGAGAAGAAGAGACUGGGAGAAGAGGAGAGGCAGGGGAGGAGAAGAGGAGAGCGGCAGAAGAGGAUAAGAGAGGGGAGAAGAGGAGAAGAGAGGGGGAGAAGACGAGAGGGUGAGAAGAGGAGAGGAAGGGGGAGGAGAAGAGAAAAGAAGCGGGGAAGAGAAGAGGAGAGGGGGAGAAGGGGAUAAGAGAGGGGGAAGAGAAGAGGAGAAGAGAGGGGGAAGAGAAGAGGAGAAGGGGAGAAGGGGAGAAGAGAGGGGGAGAAGAGGAGAAGAGAGGGGGAAGAGAAGAGGAGAAGGGGAGAGGAGAGGGUGAGAAAAGGAGAAGAGAGGGGGAGAAGGGGAGAGGGGGAGGGGGAGACGAGAGGAGAGGAGAGGAGAAAUGGAGAAGCGGAGGGUGAGAAGAGGAGAGGGGAAGGAGGAGAGGAGAGUCGGAAGGACAGGAGAGGGGAGGGGAGAGGGGCAGAAGGAGAGAAGAGGAGAGGGGGAGAAGAGAAGAGGAGAGGGGAAGAAGAGGGGUGGUAGAAGUGAGGGGAGGGGAGAGGGGGAGAAGAGGAGAGGUUGAGAAGGGGAGAAGAGAGGGGGAGGAGAGGAGAGGGGAGA
This 705-nucleotide long non-coding RNA is filed under the name Salmo salar (Atlantic salmon). Its description in RNAcentral is "lncRNA (ENSSSAG00000109127.1)". Lineage: Eukaryota; Metazoa; Chordata; Actinopteri; Salmoniformes; Salmonidae. The record is from RNAcentral.